AUUUGUCCAUCACCAAACUUCUUCACUUCCAUACACAUGAACAGAGCAAAAGAGAAGACAGUUCUCAGUCAGUGAUGAUUUUAUAGGAUUUUAGGGGUCAAGACUAGCCAUCAGUUGUAACCCUUUUAUUUAAAUGCCCUCUUUCAGGGAUUGCAAGAAAAAUCCUCCUCUUAGCCUGCUUAGAAAGCUGCCAUCUGCUGUAAGACCUGGAACCACUGUCAUAAGUUCCAGUAUCCACUAAAAAUGAUGAAGAUCAGAGAAAAAGAAAAAUGUGCUUCUGGCUAAGACUGUUAUAUAAAAGGAAAGAAUAUGAAGAGAUCUCUAUAGUCAGCAAAGGAAGAAACAAGGAUCAAGUAACCAAGAAAUCAAGAAUGACAAUGUUUUGAUCUCAAGGAGUGUGUCUAUGUCCUCCAACAGACCAGCACAGAAGUCUUCAUCUCCUGUUCGUUUCCACACCUUCAGGUCAGCCCACAGUCUCUCUUUGCAAAAGACUCUCAGCUUCAUCACAUGGCUCUUUCCGCUGGUAUGUGAAAUACCAACUUGCAGAGCACUCAGCACAGCAGGUGUCUUGGAGGCAUGGGAUCAUCUGGCUUCUGAAAGUGAAAAGAAGGAAAUAAAAAGCUUUUGCACUUUGCA
Molecule: long non-coding RNA, 636 nt
Organism: Pseudopipra pipra
Lineage: Eukaryota; Metazoa; Chordata; Aves; Passeriformes; Pipridae
Exons: 4
Source: RefSeq, a predicted model, not a curated record